GAUGAACGCUGGCGGCGUGCCUAAUACAUGCAAGUCGAGCGAAUGACGAGGAGCUUGCUCCUCUGAUUUAGCGGCGGACGGGUGAGUAACACGUGGGUAACCUGCCUGUAAGACGGGGAUAACUCCGGGAAACCGGAGCUAAUACCGGAUGAUAACGAGAAGCGCCUGCUUCUUUUUUGAAAGUCGGUUUCGGCUGACGCUUACAGAUGGGCUCGCGGCGCAUUAGCUAGUUGGUGAGGUAACGGCUCACCAAGGCGACGAUGCGUAGCCGACCUGAGAGGGUGAUCGGCCACACUGGGACUGAGACACGGCCCAGACACCUACGGGAGGCAGCAGUAGGGAAUCUUCGGCAAUGGACGAAAGUCUGACCGAGCAACGCCGCGUGAGCGAUGAAGGCCUUCGGGUCGUAAAGCUCUGUUGUCAGAGAAGAACAAGUACCGGAGUAACUGCCGGUACCUUGACGGUACUUGACCAGAAAGCCACGGCUAACUACGUGCCAGCCGCCGCGGUAA
This 512-nucleotide ribosomal RNA is filed under the name uncultured bacterium. RNAcentral describes it as "partial 16S ribosomal RNA". It matches the Rfam family "Bacterial small subunit ribosomal RNA", at positions 28 to 523 of the family's 1533-position model. The record is from RNAcentral.